This 311-nucleotide transfer RNA is filed under the name Prochlorococcus marinus subsp. pastoris str. CCMP1986. Lineage: Bacteria; Bacillati; Cyanobacteriota; Cyanophyceae; Synechococcales; Prochlorococcaceae. The record is from RNAcentral.
GCUAGAUUCGCUCAGAGCAAAUUAGGACACGACUCAAAACAAUUUCCCUCUUUAAAUAUGUAAGAGGUGGUAUUCAGUGGAGGUAAGCGGACUCGAACCGCUGACAUCCUGCUUGCAAAGCAGGCGCUCUACCAACUGAGCUAUACCCCCAACAUAGAGAUAUGGGCCAUCCUGGACUUGAACCAGGGACCUCACCCUUAUCAGGGGUGCGCUCUAACCACCUGAGCUAAUGGCCCAGGAAAAAGUGAUGGGUGUGACCUAGAAAAAACUUAGAAACUGAAAUUCUUAAAAAAUAAGAAUCUGAGAUACCG